This 510-nucleotide ribosomal RNA is filed under the name Macromia cupricincta berlandi. RNAcentral's name for it is "Macromia berlandi partial 16S ribosomal RNA". It matches the Rfam family "Bacterial large subunit ribosomal RNA", at positions 1829 to 2597 of the family's 2925-position model. The record is from RNAcentral. Lineage: Eukaryota; Metazoa; Arthropoda; Insecta; Odonata; Macromiidae.
GGUCUCUUGAUUUUUAUAAGAGAUUUGACCUGCCCGGUGAAUAAGGUUUUAACGGCCGCGGUACUUUGACCGUGCAAAGGUAGCAUAAUCAUUAGUCUUUUAAAAGAAGGCUGGAAUGAAAGGUUUGACGAAGAAUUUACUGUCUCAUUUUAUUUGUUUUUAAAAUUUAACUUUUUAGUCAAAAGGCUAAAAUUUAAUUGGUAGACGAGAAGACCCUAUAGAGCUUUAUACUUAAUUGAUUAUUUUUAUUAUAUUAUUUAUUAUUUAUUUUGAUUAAGUAUUUUGUUGGGGUGACAAAAAUAUAUGAUUAACUUUUUUAUUUAAAAUACAUUGAUUUAUGGUUAUUAGAUCCAUUAUUAUUGAUUGGUAGAUUAAGUUACCUUAGGGAUAACAGCGUAAUCCCCUUCCAGAGUUCAUAUUUACAGGGGGGCUUGCGACCUCGAUGUUGGAUUAAGAUUAUAUUUGGGUGUAGCUGCUUAAAUUAUAGGUCUGUUCGACCUUUAAAUUCUU